Molecule: long non-coding RNA, 1368 nt
Filed under: Dromaius novaehollandiae (emu)
Lineage: Eukaryota; Metazoa; Chordata; Aves; Casuariiformes; Dromaiidae
Description: lncRNA (ENSDNVG00000000387.1)
Source: RNAcentral
AUGAAAGGUAAGGGCUUCACAGAGGCACAGGCUCUGCUGCAAAUCAGUAGGUGCAUGAUGAAAAACUAUGUAAGCAUGUUUACACAGAUUAAAAGCAGCAGGAGUCCCAUGUACCGGAGUCCAACAAGUGCAAAUGAGUGUCCCCAGCACUGCACUGCUUGCAGAGACGUGGGACGCAGGCUCCCUUGUGCUGGUGAUGGUUUGACGGCGUACCCUCAGCUGCCCUCUCGUCGUCUGCUUCCCCGUCCGCAAGUGGCUCCUGGAUCGCUCCUCCUGCUCCGCCAUCACCCUGCGAGAGCCGGGAGAAGCGGGUGUCCGUGGUGCCGGGGGAGCCCCGUCCUCGGGCAGGUCUGGGCCGGGGUCUCCCUGCCGGCACGGACCCGUCCCGCCGCCCUCGCCGGCGCCGGGGCAGCGUCUUCCCGGCCUCCCGCGGGGCUCUCGGGGCAGGGACGGGAGACGGCGCGAGGAGGGGACGCGGCCCGUCCCGCAGGCACGGCGCCCUGYGGCUGCGCUCCGCACGUCGGGCUACGCCGGGAGCGGCUGGAGACCCCGCUCCGGGCAGGCGGGAUUCCCCGCAGGAGGCGGUGGCCGUCCUUACCUCGGCGGGUCCCUGUGCGCGGCGUGGCCCGGGACCUGCGGGGAGCAGAGCAGGGACAGACGGUGCGGCGUGGAGCGCGGGAGGAGCGGCCCCCGGCCCGCAGCGCGGCUCCGUCCCGCGGGAGCUGGGGCGCGGAAGCACCGGUGCCGCCUGCCCGGAGGCUCCCGGCAUCCCGCGCCCCGCGGCUGGCGUCCGGCAGCACCCGCAACCCCGGCACCGCCAGCAGCCGCUGGCCGGGAUGGUCCGGAGCGGGAACAUCCCCCCGUGCCCCGGAGAGGGGCCGGCCCUCCUCACCGGCUCUCGRGUCAGGGGGCCCAUCGGGGACUCGGAGCGCGGUACCGCAGCGGCUGCGUCCCGGUCCGCACGGGCUCGAGGGAAACAGCCAGCAAAUCCCCGCUGUGCCGGGAGGGCGGGAAGCCGGGGUCACCGCUCUGCAGGAGGAGCCCCGACAUGCGGUGGAGGCGGCCGGCUGCACAUCCCCGUCCCGGGGACAGGACGCGCGGGACGGCCGCUUGCCCCGGGGCUCAUCCACCUGCUCCGGCAGCCGGGGUCCGGGGACGUUUCCUGUCCCCAGGGCCCGUCCGCCCGCGGAGGCCGCCUUGGCACGGCCUUGGCACGGCCGGGGCGGGUGCCAUGCAGCRAGGGUGGGAUCGCCAAGGCCGGGGGCCCCCGGGGAGGUGCACGGCCCUCRGGAGGGACCGUCCGGCCGCACCGCUCUCGCGGCACCCGCUGCCGCCCCCGGGGCUCGCCGGAGCCCCCGGUGCGGAUGA